RNAcentral lists this long non-coding RNA (305 nucleotides) under Medicago truncatula (barrel medic). RNAcentral's name for it is "long non-coding RNA (MTRU_LNC008423)". Lineage: Eukaryota; Viridiplantae; Streptophyta; Magnoliopsida; Fabales; Fabaceae. The record is from RNAcentral.
GUCUAAAGUGCGUCUGAAGCCAAAAUGCAUCUGAUGACGUCAUCAGAAGCAAAUCCGUCAAAAGCAAGACCUUUAGAAGCCAAUUGUUCAGAAGCUGUAUAACAUCAGAAACUGCAAGUUGAUCAGAAGAUUCAACCUGAUGUUUCUAAGAGCUGUCUAUUGGAUUCAACCUCGUCUAAGAAAGCGAAAGACUAAAAGGAAGGUGCCAACGUUCAUUUGAAAAGCAUUGGGUGCUUGUCCUUCAUUGAAGAGUUGACAAAGUACAAGUGUACAACCACUUCCUCCACGACUCUGCUUGUGUCUAC